Molecule: ribosomal RNA, 735 nt
Filed under: Escherichia coli
Lineage: Bacteria; Pseudomonadati; Pseudomonadota; Gammaproteobacteria; Enterobacterales; Enterobacteriaceae
Also listed under: 4 other names
Description: bacterial SSU rRNA
Rfam family: Bacterial small subunit ribosomal RNA
Source: RNAcentral
CCCUGGUAGUCCACGCCGUAAACGAUGUCGACUUGGAGGUUGUGCCCUUGAGGCGUGGCUUCCGGAGCUAACGCGUUAAGUCGACCGCCUGGGGAGUACGGCCGCAAGGUUAAAACUCAAAUGAAUUGACGGGGGCCCGCACAAGCGGUGGAGCAUGUGGUUUAAUUCGAUGCAACGCGAAGAACCUUACCUGGUCUUGACAUCCACAGAACUUUCCAGAGAUGGAUUGGUGCCUUCGGGAACUGUGAGACAGGUGCUGCAUGGCUGUCGUCAGCUCGUGUUGUGAAAUGUUGGGUUAAGUCCCGCAACGAGCGCAACCCUUAUCCUUUGUUGCCAGCGGUCCGGCCGGGAACUCAAAGGAGACUGCCAGUGAUAAACUGGAGGAAGGUGGGGAUGACGUCAAGUCAUCAUGGCCCUUACGACCAGGGCUACACACGUGCUACAAUGGCGCAUACAAAGAGAAGCGACCUCGCGAGAGCAAGCGGACCUCAUAAAGUGCGUCGUAGUCCGGAUUGGAGUCUGCAACUCGACUCCAUGAAGUCGGAAUCGCUAGUAAUCGUGGAUCAGAAUGCCACGGUGAAUACGUUCCCGGGCCUUGUACACACCGCCCGUCACACCAUGGGAGUGGGUUGCAAAAGAAGUAGGUAGCUUAACCUUCGGGAGGGCGCUUACCACUUUGUGAUUCAUGACUGGGGUGAAGUCGUAACAAGGUAACCGUAGGGGAACCUGCGGUUG